AUACUUACCUGGUAGGGUAGAUACCAUGAUCAUGAAGGUGGUUUUCCCAGGGCGAGGCUUAUCUAUUGCACUCUGGAUGUGCUGACCCCUGUGAUUUCCCUAAGUGUGAGAAAUGUGGCUGCAUAAUUUGUGGUGGUGGGGGGACUAUGUUUGUGCUUUCCCCUG
This 165-nucleotide small nuclear RNA is filed under the name Castor canadensis (American beaver). Its description in RNAcentral is "U1 spliceosomal RNA (ENSCCNG00000011742.1)". It matches the Rfam family "U1 spliceosomal RNA". Rfam says of the family: U1 is a small nuclear RNA (snRNA) component of the spliceosome (involved in pre-mRNA splicing). The record is from Rfam by way of RNAcentral. Lineage: Eukaryota; Metazoa; Chordata; Mammalia; Rodentia; Castoridae.